This 355-nucleotide ribosomal RNA is filed under the name uncultured bacterium. RNAcentral describes it as "bacterial SSU rRNA". It matches the Rfam family "Bacterial small subunit ribosomal RNA", at positions 29 to 412 of the family's 1533-position model. The record is from RNAcentral.
AACGAACGCUGGCGGCAUGCCUAACACAUGCAAGUCGAACGAGAUCUUCGGAUCUAGUGGCGCACGGGUGCGUAACGCGUGGGAAUCUGCCCUUUGCUUCGGAAUAACAGUUAGAAAUGACUGCUAAUACCGGAUGAUGUCUUCGGACCAAAGAUUUAUCGGCAAAGGAUGAGCCCGCGUAGGAUUAGGUAGUUGGUGGGGUAAAGGCCUACCAAGCCGACGAUCCUUAGCUGGUCUGAGAGGAUGAUCAGCCACACUGGGACUGAGACACGGCCCAGACUCCUACGGGAGGCAGCAGUGGGGAAUAUUGGACAAUGGGCGAAAGCCUGAUCCAGCAAUGCGCGUGAGUGAUGAA